This 494-nucleotide ribosomal RNA is filed under the name uncultured bacterium. RNAcentral's name for it is "bacterial SSU rRNA". It matches the Rfam family "Bacterial small subunit ribosomal RNA", at positions 1 to 507 of the family's 1533-position model. The record is from RNAcentral.
UACGAGUUUGAUCCUGGCUCAGGAUGAACGCUAGCGGCAGGCUUAACACAUGCAAGUCGAGGGACGGUAGCAAUACUGGACCGGCAAACGGGUGCGGAACACGUACGCAACUUACCCCAAACAGGUGAAUAGCCUUCGGAAACGAAGAUUAAUACACCGUAAGAUAUAGGAGUGGCAUCAUUUUUAUAUAAUAGCUCAGGCGGUUUGGGAUGGGCGUGCGCCUGAUUAGGUAGUUGGUGGGGUAACGGCUCACCAAGCCAACGAUCAGUAACUGGUGUGAGAGCACGACCAGUCACACGGGCACUGAGACACGGGCCCGACUCCUACGGGAGGCAGCAGUGAGGAAUAUUGGGCAAUGGACGCAAGUCUGACCCAGCCAUGCCGCGUGAAGGAUGAAGGCGUUCUGCGUUGUAAACUUCUUUUAUCUGGGAAGAAACCUACGAUUUCUAUUGUAGCUGACGGUACCAGAGGAAUAAGCACCGGCUAACUCCGUG